This 373-nucleotide ribosomal RNA is filed under the name uncultured bacterium. RNAcentral's name for it is "bacterial SSU rRNA". It matches the Rfam family "Bacterial small subunit ribosomal RNA", at positions 521 to 896 of the family's 1533-position model. The record is from RNAcentral.
UAAUACGUAGGUGGCAAGCGUUGUCCGGAUUUAUUGGGUUUAAAGGGUGCGUAGGCGGUCCUAUAAGUCAGUGCUGAAAUAUCCCGGCUUAACCGGGAGGGUGGCAUUGAUACUGCAGGACUUGAGUAGAGUUGAGGUUGGCGGAAUUGACGGUGUAGCGGUGAAAUGCUUAGAUAUCGUCAAGAACACCGAUAGUGAAGACAGCUUACUGGGCUUAAACUGACGCUGAGGCACGAAAGUGUGGGGAUCAAACAGGAUUAGAUACCCUGGUAGUCCACACUGUAAACGUUGAUUACUCGCUGUUGGCGAUACACAGCCAGCGGCCAAGCGCAAGCGAUAAGUAAUCCACCUGGGGAGUACGCCGGCAACGGUG